RNAcentral lists this non-coding RNA (23 nucleotides) under Cricetulus griseus (Chinese hamster). The record is from RNAcentral. Lineage: Eukaryota; Metazoa; Chordata; Mammalia; Rodentia; Cricetidae.
GCCACGCUGGCGACAGAACCUGG